This 497-nucleotide ribosomal RNA is filed under the name uncultured bacterium. RNAcentral's name for it is "partial 16S ribosomal RNA". It matches the Rfam family "Bacterial small subunit ribosomal RNA", at positions 28 to 507 of the family's 1533-position model. The record is from RNAcentral.
GAUGAACGCUGGCGGCGUGCCUAAUACAUGCAAGUCGAGCGAACAGACGAGGAGCUUGCUCCUCUGACGUUAGCGGCGGACGGGUGAGUAACACGUGGAUAACCUACCUAUAAGACUGGGAUAACUUCGGGAAACCGGAGCUAAUACCGGAUAAUAUAUUGAACCGCAUGGUUCAAUAGUGAAAGACGGUUUUGCUGUCACUUAUAGAUGGAUCCGCGCCGCAUUAGCUAGUUGGUAAGGUAACGGCUUACCAAGGCAACGAUGCGUAGCCGACCUGAGAGGGUGAUCGGCCACACUGGAACUGAGACACGGUCCAGAGUCCUACGGGAGGCAGCAGUAGGGAAUCUGCCGCAAUGGGCGAAAGCCUGACGGAGCAACGCCGCGUGAGUGAUGAAGGUCUUCGGAUCGUAAAACUCUGUUAUUAGGGAAGAACAAAUGUGUAAGUAACUAUGCACGUCUUGACGGUACCUAAUCAGAAAGCCACGGCUAACUACGUG